Molecule: ribosomal RNA, 510 nt
Filed under: uncultured Syntrophaceae bacterium
Lineage: Bacteria; Pseudomonadati; Thermodesulfobacteriota; Syntrophia; Syntrophales; Syntrophaceae
Description: bacterial SSU rRNA
Rfam family: Bacterial small subunit ribosomal RNA
Source: RNAcentral
GCUGGCGGCGUGCCUAACACAUGCAAGUCGAACGAGAAAGUCCUGCUUGCAGGAUGAGUAAAGUGGCGCACGGGUGAGUAACACGUGGAUAAUCUGCCUCUAAGCGGGAAUAACAUUUCGAAAGGAAUGCUAAUACCUCAUAAUGUAUUUUUUCUUCGGAGAGAAUAGCCAAAGGUGACCUCUGUCUCAAGUUGCCGCUUAGAGAUGAGUCCGCGGCCCAUUAGCUAGUUGGUAAGGUAAUAGCCUACCAAGGCAACGAUGGGUAGCUGGUCUGAGAGGAUGAUCAGCCACACUGGAACUGAGAUACGGUCCAGACUCCUACGGGAGGCAGCAGUGAGGAAUCUUGCGCAAUGGGGGAAACCCUGACGCAGCAACGCCGUGUGAGUGAUGAAGGUCUUCGGGUCGUAAAGCUCUGUUUGAAGGGACGAAACGUAUUUGAGUAAUACUCAAAUAACUUGACGGUACCUUCAGAGGAAGCACCGGCUAACUCCGUGCCAGCAGCCGCGGUAA